AUCGUCUCUCCUUCUCCUUCACCCAGCGCCUCCUCCAUCUCCCGGCUCGUCCCCAAGCAACUGCCCUCGAGGAGUUCCCCGUCCUCGUCGCCGGACGCCGCCGCUCCUACCAAAUCCAGCCGCCGCCGGAUCUGCCUCCACCGGACCAGAUCCGUCCGGAUCCGGCUGCCCUCGACCAUCCUCGACCUUAUAUUCUCCUCCAGUCGCCUGAUUGAUGCGCCGCCGACGGAUCUGCCUCCGCUGGACCGGAUCCGUCCGGAUCCGGACGCCCUCGACCGCCCUCGGCCUCGUCUGCGACUCCUCCGUCCGGAUUCUGCUGUCCUCGACCGUCCCCGGCCUAGUUUGCUCCUCCCGUCGUGUGAUUUGAUGCCCCACCUAUUCGAUUUCUUCGAUUUCGUGGUGUUGCAAUCUGCUUUUCUUUGAUCGAUUAUUUGAUAGACCGAAUCCUUCCCUUGUGAUUAUCCUCAUCUCUGUGUCCUGAUUUCUGUGGUCGCUUGUUGAAUCAUCAACGUCUACCUAUAUGAACCAGUCAGAUUAGGUGUAAAGAAACGAUGUGGUAUUAUUACUUAGCCAAGUCAUAUAAUUUUUUCGGCAUGAUCCUAGGAAGGCAAGGAGAAAGCCUAUCAGCAUAUGAAGCCCAGUACGGGCGGCGUGGAGGACGCGUCACGAAUCUGAAAUAUGGAACACUUUUUUUUCACUUAUAUGCUGGACUGCGGGUUAAUUAGUUAAAACCAUAAGGGGCUUUUUGCAAAUAGUGCAUGGUGCCCUUUAGUACCACCUCGUCACCUCGUACGUGACUUUAGUACCACCUCGCCAUCUCGCACGUGACCAAAACUAAUGGUAGAAAAAAAAAUCAAUUGCGGGACGAAACUAAGAAUAUCACCUUGCUUUAAUAGUAGGUAUAGAUAAGAUCCCGUGCAUCUGCACGGGCUAGUCAUUUUUCAGUCGUUUAUCUAUCAAAUUCAUGAUAUUAUAUAGCCAUGCAUAUACACUUUUUUGAUACAUUAUUUUACACAAUAUUGGUUGUAGGUGAAUUUAAGAUAUUGUAUACACUUGUUGAAUAUUAGAAUGCCAAGACAGCCUAAGAUAGAGUUAUAGGUUUUGAAUUUGAUUAUUUUUUAUUUCCUAUUUUGAACUUUGAGCUUAGAUAUAUGGAAGGACGACAUGAGAACAUUCCCUUUUUCAUUGGAUGUCUUUGAUCCCAUAUUGGAAGCAUCUUUACCAGCUCCCAAUCCUUCGUAACAAAAAGACAACUCUUAUUUCCACUUCUUCAUCAUGCCCAAGAAUGGAGCAAUGUAGGUAGAAUUUUUCUGGAAAGCCCAAUUUUUUUGUACCAAUCAAUGUAAUGACACAACAAUAGUACUAAAUAAUGUGACAGACUGGUAGAUAGGUGGGCAUCUUUAUUUUAAAAACUAUCCAUAGGGUAGCUCUGUUUCGUCGACAAUUAUACGCAAGUAAGAGAGAAUGUUUACAGGGCUGAAACUAAUAAAAAUAUAUACAAAAUGCAUGGAUUUGUGCAAUCUGAACAAAACAAAUGCAAUAUAGAGUAGGCAGAUUUACAUGCUUGCUACUUCCUCUUGUUGCUCAUUCUGAUUAGAACCCCGAGCUUUGACAACUUUGUAAUUCAAUAUGUUUUGUCAAACAUUUAGACCUUUCGCCUUGAAAGACACAUUACCUCAGAAAGUGGGAAGAUUCUGAAUUCAUAUCCUUGAUCAUGAGAAAAUAUAUUUGAUUGGACCUGAAUGUGGACGUAGAAAUGAUGCAUGCUUAAUUGCAACACAACUAUUACCUUUUUAAUUCUAAAAGACCACAUAUUGAUUCUAAAUUCAUUGAUAGAAAUCUUAUUCAGAAAGAAACGAAUGUUUCAGCUAGUCCGAUAAAAGUUUUAAGGACAAAAUGGUAAACUUUUUAUAGAACAGGCUUGUAAUACACAUAAUUAAAGAGGAGAUGUUAGUUUACCUGCAAUUUUGUGAUAAAUGAGUGGCAUGAUUCGAAAUAGUCACACUUAGUCACAGAGACACUAUAAUAUUAGGACAUGAUCCACA
RNAcentral lists this ribosomal RNA (2045 nucleotides) under Triticum aestivum (bread wheat). RNAcentral's name for it is "partial small subunit ribosomal RNA". Lineage: Eukaryota; Viridiplantae; Streptophyta; Magnoliopsida; Poales; Poaceae. The record is from RNAcentral.